GUCACCGUCAGCAAGGGAUGUGCAUCAACUUGUACUGUAACAACAGCUUUCCCGCGAGAUGAGUGCUGUCAGGGAGAACUCUGUAACGAUAAAUUGAUUUGCUUCCAAUGUGCUGAAACAACCGAUGAAAGCUCCUGUACUUCGAGUCCAUGUGCAGCUGAAGCAUUCUGCAAGAGUGACUACAAACUCAACGGGGCAGGAGUGCCUGCUGUCAUUAAGUCCUGUGCAGCUGAUUGCAAAGCUGUUGACAAUACAGCAGACAAAAACGUGAGGACAACUUGCUGCAAAACAGGAUAUUGUAA
Long non-coding RNA from Acipenser ruthenus (sterlet), 302 nucleotides. RefSeq lists it as uncharacterized. The transcript is spliced from 3 exons. The record is from RefSeq and is a predicted model, not a curated record. NCBI's taxonomy places the organism in Eukaryota, Metazoa, Chordata, Actinopteri, Acipenseriformes, Acipenseridae.